GCCCAGAUGGCGGAAUUGGUAGACGCGCUGGUCUCAAACACCAGUGGUAGCAAUAUCGUGCCGGUUCGACUCCGGCUCUGGGCA
This 84-nucleotide transfer RNA is filed under the name Bacteroidota bacterium. Its description in RNAcentral is "tRNA-Leu". It matches the Rfam family "tRNA". Rfam says of the family: Transfer RNA (tRNA) molecules are approximately 80 nucleotides in length. Their secondary structure includes four short double-helical elements and three loops (D, anti-codon, and T loops). RNAcentral also lists the same sequence under 2 other names. The record is from RNAcentral. Lineage: Bacteria; Pseudomonadati; Bacteroidota.